UAAUAAAUAUCAAAUAUAGGUGCCUCCUAUGGAGGAGAAUAGGGAAAUCCGGUUGAAAUCCGGUGCAGCCCCCGCUACUGUAAGCGUAUACGAAACCUCAAUAUGUCACUCAAACAUGGGGAAGACGAGGAAGUAGGAUAAGACGCAAGCCAGGAAACCUGCCUAUGUUUACUUUGGGAC
This 180-nucleotide non-coding RNA is filed under the name Geosporobacter subterraneus. Lineage: Bacteria; Bacillati; Bacillota; Clostridia; Peptostreptococcales; Thermotaleaceae. The record is from RNAcentral.